Long non-coding RNA from Girardinichthys multiradiatus, 2007 nucleotides. RefSeq lists it as uncharacterized. Lineage: Eukaryota; Metazoa; Chordata; Actinopteri; Cyprinodontiformes; Goodeidae. The transcript is spliced from 2 exons. The record is from RefSeq and is a predicted model, not a curated record.
UUAAAUAACAUGUCCUGGUCAAAAAUAACACCAAGGUUUUUUACAUUAUUACCGGAGGUCAAUUUAAUGCCAUCCAGGUUAAGUGAUUGACUAAGCAGUUUCUUUUUUGAUGUUAUUAAUGUUCUGAACUAUUAGAAUAACAACCAGUGGCACCACUAAGGGGAGUAGGGGAAGCAAUGGCCACCCCAGUUUAUUGGAAGCCAUUCUGGUCCUUAUUCUUACCUGCAUAAACACAUUAUGCAGAUAAGACCACUGUGGAUGUAUCUUUAGAGGUGGAGCUCUCUCUAUCAGCAUAAAAAAAACAUGCUUCAUGAACAUAAAGACUCUUUGGCCUUUUAUUUUUGUAAAAACACAUGCAAAAAAACCCCAAAAACAAAUAAUUGGAUCUGAAUUUCAAGUAUGUUGUUCAUUAUAACAACAUACCCAUACAAAUUUCCUGAAAUUCUGUUGUGCACUCUACAACAACAUGCAUCAACACCACAUUUGAGCAGGUGACUGGCUUGCUAUGGUGGCUUUUUUCCACUGCUUCCUCCUGCAGCUGUAGCCCCCGGCCUGGCACUGGGCUGCGGUCGCAGUGGAGUGCGUCUUGUGCCUGUGCUGGGGCGGCUGGUGGUUGGUGUUUGGGUGGGGGCAGUUGGUUGGCCCGAGUGCUGAUACCUGGCUGGUAUAGGCGCAUGUUUACUUUAUUUUUUUGUUUCUCAUGGAUGGGUGGGCUGGGGCUGCUGGUGUUGGUUGAGCUCGGCAUGUGCUGCUCCGCUCGCAUGUGGUGGCUGAGGUGCCGUCGUGCUGGGCUGCUGCCUUCCUGUCGCAGGGCACUGUGUCAGGAGCUGUGUGCAGAGCUCACGCUGUGUAGAUGUGUCUUCAGAGCCAUCUUGUGGGGGUGUGGCUUUGGUUGGCUGGCUCGUUUGGACCUCUCCUUUGUUGUUAUUUUUGUGUCCCCCCUCUCUGGAUGGGGUUCACUGGGGGAAGCCGUCAGUGUGGGGGGCUCGGUCUCUGGGCCGGGGUCAUUCGGGUUAGGGCUGUGCUGUUCUAGUCUGGACUGGUGGUUCGGGCACUCUGCUUGUCUCCACCCCAGAAUGAAGGGGAUGACCUCCUGGGUCUGGUUGCCUCUCGGGGGUGUCGGUACUUGGACUUGGGAGUAUAUUGUUGUAUGUGGAGUGCAAGUGAGUGUAAAGCGUCCAUUCUCGUGUGUCUUUUUGUUGCGUGUGUGGGUGAAUGCAUGUAUCUGCAUGACACUGGGAACGUGUGAUUGUGACUGUGUGCCUGUUUUUUAGUCAGCUUGGAUUUUGGGCUACAAUUUGGGAUCAAAUGUGGGGCCCGUUUCUCCCCUAUCACGUCGGUGGUUCUCUCUGGCUCUUGGGGGCCUUGGGAUGUCUGUGGCUCCAAUCUCCUCUGUGUCCAUUUUGGGGCCUGGAGGGCAGGUGUGUGUUUCUUCAUGUCCACUACUGAAUGUUAUUAUGAAGAAAUCUUAUAUUGUCAUACCACUAGACCUGAGCACUGGUUGGUUUGUGUGUGUGUGCAGUUUUUUGUUCUCUCUUACCUCUCCUCUAGGGGGUGAUAGGCAGGUGUUUCCACACAGCUGAGAACCAUCAGAGGUAAUCAAGCAGACUGGGGCGUCAGAUUGUUAUUCUGCCCAGAAUGGCUGGAUUCCGGUCCAAAUCCUGGUUCUGCCCAAGGCACCCUGCAGUGUUUGCCGGACCAAGAACCUCUUCCUCCUCCAGAAAAGAAGCGCUUCUGGAGACUACUCACCUCAUUGUCAAGUCUGGAACCAGCCUUUCACCCACCUGUCCACCCUCCAACAUCCCAUCCAGUUGGCUGAAAAGCAAGAGAGAGAACCCCAAUCACCACACAACAACAACCUUUCCUGUCAAACUCCAUCAUCAUGGUGUGACUUACUUGUUCCCCUGGAAACAUCAGACCUACAGAAAAUAAGCUGCCCUGCCCGAGCCCGAACCCAAGACGACCACACUCUUACCUCUUGUGACUCAAUAAAGCCAUUAAACCUAA